GAAGCAGAGUCGUCAACGCAGUCUAUUAAUAUUCUAAUUUCAGCAACCCCAAGAAUUCUAUUAAUAAUUUGUUCUCAGACACAUUUGCAAUUUCAGCAAAUUUAGAACCACAAGAAUUUGUUGCCGUAUACAUUUAUAAUUUCAGCCCUAAGGAAUUGUUCUUAGAUCCAUACAAAUCGAACAGGACUAGAGCAAAUUGACAUAUCAGAACGGCUAGAUGGAACAGGACUAGAGCAAAUUGACAUAUCAGAACGGCUAGAUGGAACAGGACUAGAGCAAAUUGACACCAAUGCCUAGUGUAAGCAGUUUGCACGCCGGCUUCAAAAGGGAGGUAUGCCUAGUGUAAGCAGUUUGCACAGUGAUCCAACCUCAUUGUCCUACUUCUAGUAGGCUGGUUAAUUCUCGCAUUGCCUAGUGUAAGCAGUUUGCACAGCAACAGACACCAAUGCCAUGACUCACAGAGAGACCAGCUCCGUCGAGUUGAAGAGCUCCGGCGGGAUCUCGGUCAGAUUCCAGAAUCCAGUGAUGUUCCUGCAUGAUCCAGAGCCCAGCCGUCAAUCCACAAGCAAAGGCACCGGGAAAACUGAAAAGCCAGAGGCCUCGGGCGAGCGGGGAAGACAGGGAACGAACAGGUGCGUGAUGCGGCACACGGG
Molecule: long non-coding RNA, 653 nt
Filed under: Triticum aestivum (bread wheat)
Lineage: Eukaryota; Viridiplantae; Streptophyta; Magnoliopsida; Poales; Poaceae
Description: long non-coding RNA (TAES_LNC020924)
Source: RNAcentral